GUCCAUCUGACGAGUCCCAAAUUGGACGAAAUGCGCAUCCUGGAU
Molecule: non-coding RNA, 45 nt
Filed under: Trichobilharzia regenti
Lineage: Eukaryota; Metazoa; Platyhelminthes; Trematoda; Strigeidida; Schistosomatidae
Source: RNAcentral